Molecule: transfer RNA, 65 nt
Filed under: Amphioctopus fangsiao
Lineage: Eukaryota; Metazoa; Mollusca; Cephalopoda; Octopoda; Octopodidae
Description: tRNA-Arg
Source: RNAcentral
AAUCAAGAAAUGAAAAUUCAUAUAUGGUUUCGACCCAUAAUUAGGUAUAUUUAUACCCUUGUUUC